AGUCUCUCGACAACCCUUUCCUCAAUCUCAGUCUCCCUCGGGCAUCACAGAAUAAGAGAAACAGUAGCUCACAGCAAGAUGCUACUACACUUGGAGGGGAUAAUUGAAUGGCUAUUGGUGAUUGAAUGGUCAUUUUAUAAGCAUGACUAGCCAUGUUGGUGUUCCAUCUUUUUGUGGAAAUUGUGGAGAGUGAUGCUGUUCGAACUUCAAAGCUUCAAUUAUAAUAUUGGCAUUGUCUUGUUUUAAAUGGAUUAUUGAUGUUAUUUAAUUGGAUAAUUGUUAAGAUUUGUUUUGGAUGAUUUCUGGAUUAUUUCACUUCUUUUGGAUGAUUUAUGGAUUAUUUCACUUGUUCUGGAUGAUUUAUGG
Neltuma alba is the source of this 366-nucleotide long non-coding RNA. RefSeq lists it as uncharacterized. The transcript is spliced from 3 exons. The record is from RefSeq and is a predicted model, not a curated record. Lineage: Eukaryota; Viridiplantae; Streptophyta; Magnoliopsida; Fabales; Fabaceae.